GGUGGCUCAGUGGUAGAGUGCAUGCCUUGCAUGCAUGAGGCCCUGGCUUCGAUUCCUCAGCACCA
This 65-nucleotide transfer RNA is filed under the name Dipodomys ordii (Ord's kangaroo rat). It matches the Rfam family "tRNA". Rfam says of the family: Transfer RNA (tRNA) molecules are approximately 80 nucleotides in length. Lineage: Eukaryota; Metazoa; Chordata; Mammalia; Rodentia; Heteromyidae. The record is from Rfam by way of RNAcentral.